GGUCGUGUAGCUCAGUUGGCUAGAGCGCUACAUUCACAUUGUAGAAGUCAGAGGUUCGAGUCCUCUCACGACCA
This 74-nucleotide transfer RNA is filed under the name Candidatus Woesebacteria bacterium RIFCSPHIGHO2_12_FULL_44_11. RNAcentral's name for it is "tRNA-Val". It matches the Rfam family "tRNA". Rfam says of the family: Transfer RNA (tRNA) molecules are approximately 80 nucleotides in length. Their secondary structure includes four short double-helical elements and three loops (D, anti-codon, and T loops). Further hydrogen bonds mediate the characteristic L-shaped molecular structure. tRNAs have two regions of fundamental functional importance: the anti-codon, which is responsible for specific mRNA codon recognition, and the 3' end, to which the tRNAs corresponding amino acid is attached (by aminoacyl-tRNA synthetases). tRNAs cope with the degeneracy of the genetic code in two manners: having more than one tRNA (with a specific anti-codon) for a particular amino acid; and 'wobble' base-pairing, i.e. permitting non-standard base-pairing at the 3rd anti-codon position. The record is from RNAcentral. Lineage: Bacteria; Candidatus Woeseibacteriota.